This is a small nuclear RNA of Nannospalax galili (Upper Galilee mountains blind mole rat), 107 nucleotides long. The record is from Ensembl. NCBI's taxonomy places the organism in Eukaryota, Metazoa, Chordata, Mammalia, Rodentia, Spalacidae.
GUGCUCACUUCAGCAGCACAUAUACUAAAAUUGGAACAAUACAGAAAAGGUUAGCAUGGCCCCUGCGCAGGGAUGACAUGUAAAUCUGUGAAGCAGUCCAUAUUUUU